Molecule: ribosomal RNA, 1606 nt
Filed under: metagenome
Description: bacterial LSU rRNA
Rfam family: Bacterial large subunit ribosomal RNA
Source: RNAcentral
GGCCCGCUCGCCGAAAGCCCAAGGUUUCCUGCGCAACGUUCAUCGGCGCAGGGUGAGUCGGCCCCUAAGGCGAGGCCGAAAGGCGUAGUCGAUGGGAAACAGGUUAAUAGUCCUGUACCUUUAUGCAAUGCGAUGGGGGGACGGAGAAGGUUAGGUGGGCCGGGUGUUGGACGUCCUGGUUCAAGCGUGUAGGCGUGCCCGAUAGGCAAAUCCGUUGGGCUUAGCCGAGGCGUGAUGACGCAAGACUCUCACGAGUCCCAAGCCACUGAGACCCCGCUUCCAGGAAAAGCCUCUAAGCUUCAGUUGCAUGAAGACCGUACCGCAAACCGACACAGGUGGGCAGGAUGAAGAUUCUAAGGCGCUUGAGAGAACUCAGGAGAAGGAACUCGGCAAAUUAGCACCGUAACUUCGGGAGAAGGUGCGCCCCGGUAGUGUGUAGCGGCUUGCCCGUGAAGCACGAUGGGGUUGCAGUGAAUUGGUGGCUGCGACUGUUUAAUAAAAACACAGCACUCUGCAAACACGAAAGUGGACGUAUAGGGUGUGACGCCUGCCCGGUGCCGGAAGGUUAAGUGAUGGGGUGCAAGCUCUUGAUCGAAGCCCCGGUAAACGGCGGCCGUAACAAUAACGGUCCUAAGGUAGCGAAAUUCCUUGUCGGGUAAGUUCCGACCUGCACGAAUGGCGUAACGAUGGCCACACUGUCUCCUCCUGAGACUCAGCGAAGUUGAAGUGUUUGUGAAGAUGCAAUCUACCCGCUGCUAGACGGAAAGACCCCAUGCACCUUUACUGUAGCUUUGCAUUGGACUUUGAUGAGACUUGUGUAGGAUAGGUGGGAGGCCUUGAAGGCGGGAUGCUAGUCCCGCUGGAGCCGUCCUUGAAAUACCACCCUGGUGUCAUUGAGGUUCUAACCUGGAUCCAUUAUCUGGAUCGGGGACCGUGCAUGGCAGGCAGUUUGACUGGGGCGGUCUCCUCCCAAAGGGUAACGGAGGAGUUCGAAGGUUCGCUAGGUACGGUCGGACAUCGUACUGAUAGUGCAUUGGCAAAAGCGAGCUUGACUGCGAGACGGACAUGUCGAGCAGGUGCGAAAGCAGGACAAAGUGAUCCGGUGGUUCUGUAUGGAAGGGCCAUCGCUCAACGGAUAAAAGGUACGCUGGGAUAACAGGCUGAUGACUCCCAAGAGUUCAUAUCGACGGAGUCGUUUGGCACCUCGAUGUCGGCUCAUCUCAUCCUGGGGCUGUAGCCGGUCCCAAGGGUAUGGCUGUUCGCCAUUUAAAGAGGUACGUGAGCUGGGUUUAAAACGUCGUGAGACAGUUUGGUCCCUAUCUGCAGUGGGCGUUGGAGAUUUGACGGGGGCUGCUCCUAGUACGAGAGGACCGGAGUGGACGCACCUCUGGUGUACCGGUUGUGACGCCAGUCGCAUCGCCGGGUAGCUAUGUGCGGAAGAGAUAACCGCUGAAAGCAUCUAAGCGGGAAACUUGCCUGAAGAUGAGAUCUCCCGGAGGCUUGACCUCCCUGAAGGGUCGUGGAAGACCACCACGUUGAUAGGCCGGGUGUGGAAGCGCAGUAAUGCGUUAAGCUAACCGGUACUAAUUGCCCGUGCGGCUUGAUC